Labrus bergylta (ballan wrasse) is the source of this 1667-nucleotide non-coding RNA. NCBI's taxonomy places the organism in Eukaryota, Metazoa, Chordata, Actinopteri, Labriformes, Labridae. The record is from RefSeq and is a predicted model, not a curated record.
AGUAAAAGCCUGCCAAAAGAAAAUGGGUUGUCUGAACUCGGAAAUUCAAAACAGUUAUUUCAACUAUAUCUUUACUAUACUAUAAGUUAUUAGAACGCGUUUUUAGUUUCAAGUAUACAGUGCUCAAUCAAUUUAAUCUUUUUCAUAAUUGUACUCAAAUUGUCUGAGCGGCUCUGCAUGACGUCACGGUCACGUACGUACGUGCUUUCACCUGAAGGAGAGUCCGCCAUGUUUGCUCUCACAUCGAGUCUUUACAACUUUACAACAAUUUGGACACAACAAGGCGAUAUUGUUUAGUUUAUGGAGCAAAACGCAGACUUUUGAAGGGACUUUUGUUCGGACAUGCAGGAGUUUUUGUCUCUACUCUGCCGAAUGCACUGACUGCUGUAGCAUUGGUGCUAUCUUUGAGCUAAUCUGGCUUAAACACAAGCAACUUGGUUAUAUCUGGAGUCUGCAAUCUGACCACCUUUUCCCUGAGAUGUAAAGAGGUCAUCAGUGAUGACUUGCCUGUUGGAGAGAUCCUGGAGUGCUGGCCUGCCCUAAAGAUGGAGUCACAGAUCUGUGCAAAGUUUCACAGCAUUACAAACAUCAACCUGAAAAACCACUUCUAUGCUGAGUUAGACAGACUUGUCUGAAAGGGUUUGUUCAGGAAAGCUGCACGCACAGGGAAGGUAUCCGAAGUCCUGGAUCAGCUCUUCAACACUUAUGACCUCCAGGAACAAGUUGACAUCAGUGUCCAACGUGCUGCUGUCCUCCGUGCUCUCCCUACAUAUCUGUAUGAGGAUGACUCCAGGUUUCUGAAGCUGUUGGAUGUGGCCCUGUCAGAUGAAUGCAAAUCAACAACAUACCUGCCGGGCUCCUCAUGAUCAGUGCCACUUCAACAGAUGAACCAGAUCUUCUGCCCCGAGAAGGUUGCAGUUGUGCUUGAGGGUAACACAGUUGUCGAUUUCCCCACAUUUUCUGACGCAUUAGUCAUGCUUUUUGCACUAAUUUAUGUACUGCAUCUAAGUUACUCAAAAGUCUGGGUCAAUACAUUUACAAAAAAUGUUAAUGGGCCUCGAGGAUAGCAAGUUGAAGCCUAGGUUAUUGAGCCCCACACACACACACACACACACACACACACACACACACACACACACACACAAUGUAAAACUUCACUGAAUUAUUUCUGUUCUUGGACUUGGGUAAUUUUGGAAUUGCAAAGAGCAGUGAAAAAAUGCCUGUUGAACACGAAGUUUGAAUGUUUCCGUUGGAAAUGCUUUGGUUUUUGUGGUGUAUUUUAUGUUUUCCACGUGUAUUAAGUCGUGAUUGGCUUUGUUUUAUAUCAAGGAACAGAAUCUGCCCAUUAGUUAGCACUAGUAAACUAUUUCUUAUUAAUACUGUUUCUGAACUAUUGCUGAGUCUUUCUGAAAUCAAUAGCAGACUUUCUUUGGUUGAAGUUUGAUAUUAUAUCUAUCGUGUGUUAAAAUGUGUUUAAUUUUCACUAAGAAUUUGUGUAUUUCAGGAUAUUGUGUUAACGCAACUUAAAAACAUUGAUGUAAUCAGUUUCAACAAAUGUUUUAAGUACUUCAAAAUAUAGUUUUGAGCUGGAAUUAAGUCGAUUUUUUAAUUAUAGGAAAGUUUUCAAAACUAAAUGAAACUCAAAAUAUAUAUAAACAUAAUGUAAA